UAGGCGAACGGCUGAGUAACACGUGGGCAACCUGCCCCUCUCAUCGGGAUAGCCACGGGAAACCGUGGAUAAUACCGAAUACUUCGAGUCUCCCGCAUGGAAGACUCGAGAAAGCUCCGGCGGAGAGGGAUGGGCCCGCGGCCUGUUAGCUUGUUGGUGGGGUAACGGCCUACCAAGGCAAUGAUGGGUAGCUGGGUUGAGAGACCGACCAGCCAGAUUGGGACUGAGACACGGCCCAG
RNAcentral lists this ribosomal RNA (239 nucleotides) under uncultured bacterium. RNAcentral describes it as "partial 16S ribosomal RNA". It matches the Rfam family "Bacterial small subunit ribosomal RNA", at positions 95 to 334 of the family's 1533-position model. The record is from RNAcentral.